CGGAGUUUUUGCGUAGUAAAUAAAGUUCACAAAAUAAAGUGCAGCGGAUAAUCGAUGUCGUCGGUAACGAGGAAUCGGGCAAGGCCUAGCCCACUACUCCUCGUGCUCCUCUCCUGCCGGAGCCACAUCCCACUCGACCGUCCAACCCAGUGGCAGGGUGGUAGGCCAAGUCACACCAUCAACCAUUUCCUGAAUGGUACCUGCAAAAAUUGUGCCACAAGCAAGGCUGAGUAUACUAAUACUCAGCUAGACUUAACCGGUGUGAGGAGUCUACUCCUCUACCUCUAGACUAUGCAGCUGUUUGGCUGAGGGGUUUGGUUUGCCAAAAGCACUAGCUGUUUCUAAAAGCAAAUUUUAGCUUUUCAAAUUCUAUCAUCAUUAACUUAGCUAGAUUUGCUCCUUCUAAGCAUACAUGGUAACAAUCAAUUAGUUCAAUCAACAAGUUAUCUCAUGUAACCACAUUUCACUUCUUACUCGAUGCAGUACAAGGAAUCAAGCAGUCUCAUUAGCUGCGAGAAGCAGACGAUUCGAAUCGAGUUUUAACCUUGCAAGGUAAACCUAAACACACGGCAUGUCAGGGUACUCCGACCCCACACAUGACAACCGUCCCCAUCGAUUCCCCGUCCGCGUCCAGGCCUCACUGCCUUGGCAUACAAUGCUCCACUGACCCCGGCUGCCGCCGUGCAGUGACCACACUUGUACCCACCAUAGCUAGCAUGGGAGACCCAGUCUUAGGUCGCAUGAGGGAUAAAGUCCGCGCCCGACUUCACUCAGGUACUAGGUUUACCGGUUACCAUUUUUCCCAGCAUGUGCUUAGUACGUUCAAAAGCUUGACUCAGGUAUCCACACAUUAAUCCUUAAUUCAUUUUUCCCGUCUCAUGGACAAGGCAUCCUCCCUGGAUCCAAGUCCAUAGACUAACAUAUAUCCCGUUAUCAAGAUGAAUACAAUCAAUUCCUGACCUCGCGCGAGUGCUAGAAAAAUCACUCGACUUCUACCGAGAUCCUGAUUAGCAAGCAGCUACUCGACCUAGCAUACUAGUAUUCAUCUCAAAAGGAAUCCUAAGUUCAUGCAACUAGAGGUUUCAAGCAACUCCUACACUUAAGUGCACAUUUCAAUCCUACAAGCAUUAAGUGUAGUAAAGUAGCAUAUAAUAAUACAGUUAUGCAUAAAACUGGGGCUUGCCUUUAAUUUAACACUUAGAUAGUGUUUGCUAGGGGGUACUCGCUUGACGAGCAUCCACUGGUUAAGUCCAUCCUUCCUUGGGUCGUCCACCGACUGCACCUUGUGGUUGGCACCACAUCACUUGCACGAUCAUCAUCUCUCGGUCCUAAAUGAGAUGCAAGAUGCAUAUGUAUGAAUAUAAUGAAAGUAGCACAAGAUGUUCAAGACACAGUGGAGAACUAAACAUUAAAUUGUAAGACACCGUAAACAACCAUAUGCUAGUAUUAGCUAUCUACACUUCAUCGAUCAUACAUAAUCAAUACCAUUAGAAAGACAACAAAUACUUUCUAGAAUUAACCAGCGCAACACGACAUCACACGUGCAAGCAUUUAUCACAUUCACUUUAAUUGUUCAUUAGUUACUUAUUAUUAAACUAGUUAAGUACGCAUAAAUUUACGAUGACUUACACAUAGACAGACUUAGUUAAAAAGGAAUAGUUACUUAAUCGGGUUUUACAAUCAUUCACAACCUUCUACUGCAAGCAUACACCCAGAGAACACGCAUGAGGAGAUAGUUUAUUCAUAAUUACAAAUUGUACUACUUUAAUGGCAUUGGUUACUUAGUAGUAUUAGCAGAAAGCCAAGACAUGACAUUAUUCAUUUUGUUUCCCUAAUAUAUAACUGUACUUGCUAACUGUUGAUUAAGCUAAGAUACUUAUUAGACCUUAACCAAUUUAGUUCACUAACGUAGUGAGAUGUGUACUACUUACUUAUAUAUAACCCCAAUUAUACUAGUCACUUAUUAUUAUUACUCAUGUUCAGUCAAAUCCCAAGACAAACAAGCAGUCGACUCAAGACAGCUACAACAAAGUAGGGCAAUCAAUCACAUUCAACAUGUUUGGGACAGCAGCACAGCAGUCACUCAUUUUAAUCAUAACUCUUCAAAUAUUAAUCCAAAAAUAGCAAACUAGGACUUUAUGGAAAGCUUAAAAAGUGAACUACAACUUUGGUAUUUUUAUCUCAACAAGAUUCAACACUUAGCAAGGUCAAAAAGUGCUAACACAGCAACUCUGUCUAGAUUGGACAGAUUCAGACUUACAACUUCAAAAACUCACAACUAAAGAUUCAGACAUCCAAACUAAUUGAUUCUGGACUUUCUGGAAAGGUAAUAAAAUUGUCUACAUAUCAUUUAUAAACAUCUCAAGGUGAUUCAAUAUUUAACUAAGGACAAAAGACACUAGAAGGCUUUGCUGUCCAGAAUUGGACAGAUUUAGUCUUCAGAGUUUAAACAUCCAUAACUUAAUCUUCAGAUCACCAAAAAGAGUGAUUCAAGACUUUUUGAAAAGCUUGGCAAAAGCACUACAUACUUUUGUAAUCACCAAGAAUUGAUUCUAUGCUGAACUGAAUCAAACAAUUCAGUUUUCGAAAUCUGUUCUGUCAGUGGACAGAAUACAGCAACCAGUUUGAAAAAUUCAUAACUCCUAAUCUGUCAGGCAUAUGGUUAUGAAAUUUUAACACAAGCAAGAUAAGAAAAGCAUCUACAACUUUCUUAUAACGACCAUGAACAGUUUGUAACAUUAACUUAAGCAAACAAUUCAGUUUCUAAAAUCUGUACAGAAAUUGGACAGAUUCAGUUACUGAAUUUGUGAAAAGCACAACUCCUAAACGAUCAGACUUAUGCCUGUCAAAUUUUAACACCAGCAAGAUAAUAAAGUUAUCUACCACUUUUCUAUAGCACAUAUCUACAGAAAACACAAUUUGGUUCAUCAAACAUAUAGCACAGGGAAAUCACUGCGUGCAGCCCAAAACAACAACUAAUAAUUUCAGCUCCUAUUUACUUCAAGAAUUGUCGCGUUCUAGAAACUCGAACCAUUCUAACACUUUACCAUUUAUUAGCGUUAAAUUAAUCAAAUGAGGACUAAUAAGUAGACUUACUAAUACUUAUCCGUGUUAUUUUGAACACUAGAAGUACCAUACUCAAUUAACAACGCAUUCUCUACGAUAAUCAAUAUCGAAACGCUUUUCACCCAAUAAUUUGCAUUUUAACUUAGACUUCACAUGAGCACUACUACUUUUUACCCGCGAUCAUAACCAUACACCUUUAGGCCAUAACAAGAAAAUCAUCGUGAUUACGAGCUUAACCAACCCGUGUAACACUUCAGCUAACUAGAGCAACGGCAUAGCCCGCUAAAUAACAUACACGUUGGCUUGUCUAUUACUAUCACUAUUUAAGGCACAACAUACACCACAACAUUUUUAUAAACAUACAUAUUCACAUAUAUAUUCACACAUCGACCAAAUCAUACGAACCGUAAACCACUAAUCUCUAACUCGAAACCAUCAUGCGCUUACUUCCCAAUUCAUGAACACAUAACGUGUAUUGACCCGACUUAAGAUAUAGAGGAAGCUAUGACUACUUUGGCAUGUCACCACCUCUCUAUAUAAGCCAAAACAAUUUCUACCAUCGACUAAGAGUUCCAAGUAUUAAACACAUUAUUACUUUCCACGCGCAAAUAAACCUCAACUAAACACCAGUGACACCGAUGGAUUUUUACUAAACUCAUCGUGCGCAUAACCCUGUCUCGCAUACAACCAAAUUGUGGCGUGCACUCGAGAUACUUCGAUCAAUGUGGUGCGACCACUAAUAUAUGAACUCCGACACUCAUGUAUUAAUAAUUCAUCCUCCACGUAAAUUAGCAUUGUCUAAACUACUCGUCACAUUAACAAUUAUAUCCCCUAUAUAAUCACGAAUUCCAUCACGUUGCAUAAAACAAAUACACUUUUCACAUAAACACAUAUCGAUGCAUUUCCCAAAACAUAAUCCGCAUUUUGUAACUUAGUUUUCACAUUUAAACAACGCAUCGCAUAUUUUUUUCCUAUCAAAUAUAAAAUUGUCCGAGUUCUUUUCUACUUCAGUUUCUCCUCUACACGCGUUUAUUCAUACAAUUAUAUUUUCACGCACAUAUUCAUGCCAUCGACUGAAUCGUAAAUAAAACGAAAUCACAAUUUUUCUAAAGCGAACAACCUGGCCGACUCGUGUCGCGCAUGCCUGCAUGCUGGUUUGGCUUUCUGUCGAAACAACGCGUGAAGCGCGACGACGACAAGGGGCUGCGAUUAAACGACAUACACAAUUAUUUCACGGUGUAUUAGUUUAGUUAUUUUAUAAAAUCAAGGAACACGGAACAGCGAGGAGCUCACCGCGGAUUGACGGCAUCGCGACAGGGUAUGCGUAGAUCGACGCCGGGUGGCCCGCCCUGGCAAGCGCGACGCAGCGAAGGGCGUCGCUGCUGCUGCUUGCUGCGGCAUUACGUCAAGCACACCGAGGGCGCGACACGGAGGGAAUCCACGUGGCUGCGCAAACUGGCGUCGCGGCUGCUGCGCGAGGUCGACGGCGUUGACGACCAUGAAGGCACGAGCAGGGGCGCGCGCCGGCCAUGGGGCUUUGCGUCACGGCAUCCAUGGAGAGGAGCCACAGCUCGGCCAGGGAGGGAGCUGGGCGUUCCUGGCGCGCAUGCACAGGAAAACAGAGGGGAGGAGAAGUUGUUGUCGCCAUGCUUGAAGGGGGAACGCUAGAGAGGGAAGAGUUGCUGCUCCUGCGGCAAGGGACACAGGAAGAAGGCCGGCGUCGAGCUCCUGGACAUGGGGGCCGCUGGAGCAUUGGCUUCAUUCCCUGAGUAGGGCGUCGGCCAUUGGGGAAGAACUUCCUCUACGCAAGGAACAUAGAGGAGAGGGCUGGAGAUAGGAGCAGGGGGUCGGACACGACUUGGGAGAGGCAGCGUACGUGCAGGAAGAAACAAGGAGCCCAAGCC
This 4970-nucleotide long non-coding RNA is filed under the name Zea mays. Its description in RNAcentral is "long non-coding RNA (ZMAY_LNC003180)". The record is from RNAcentral. Lineage: Eukaryota; Viridiplantae; Streptophyta; Magnoliopsida; Poales; Poaceae.